RNAcentral lists this long non-coding RNA (2106 nucleotides) under Malus domestica (apple). RNAcentral's name for it is "long non-coding RNA (MDOM_LNC015073)". Lineage: Eukaryota; Viridiplantae; Streptophyta; Magnoliopsida; Rosales; Rosaceae. The record is from RNAcentral.
UUCUCUUUCUUCUUUUCUCCUAUUUCUUCUUUUCAUUUCAUCUUCGUACCAUGCUCUUUUUAUCCACUUCAUCCAGUUCCUCCAUCACUCUCUCCAUGACAGUCGCCGAUCUCAUCUCCCCAUCUUCUCUCACUAGUACGACAAGACAUGAUUUAUGCCAAACACCAGAAAUGUCUCGCUUUCCUGCUCCUGUUUUCUAUUGUGUGUAAGGGAUUUUGCUUAUCCGAGGUAAUUAGUCAGGGAUUUUGUUUCAACUUUUUCAAGUUAACUAAAAAUUUGUAGUUCCCUGAUUUUAUUAUGGUUUUGUAGUUUUUGUUCAAUUCAAUCUAUUUUUAUGACUAAUUUGCUAAUUAUCAAAUUUCUCAUACAUUGUUCUACUUAAACCACAUUUAUUUUAUCUAAUUUGUUAAUAUUUAGUGAUGUUUUUGGCAUCAAUUGUUGUUGAAAUUUUGUUAAUUCUUGUUUUCUCAUGUGAUGGACUGUUGUUCUGCAGUGAAGAGCACAGAAAGAAGAAGAGGAAAAGAGAAGCGGGGAAAGGGGAAAAGAGAAAGGUAGCACCGACAGAAAAAGGGGAAGAAAAGAAGAUGGGAAAAAGGAAAAAUCAUCAUUAUGUUUUCUUUAUUUUGUUGUAUAAACACUUUGUAUAAUGAGAUAUAUUGUUGAAGAACAUUACCAAUGGAAGCAUUUAUGUCACAUAUGAAUUUUAAUAUAUUUUUUAAAUGAGCAUGGGUGUCGGAUAAAAGAGCAUUUUUGUUUAUUUUUUAUUUUUAGUCAAAACAUAAAUUUGGUUUAUAUACAUUUUUUUUUUUAUUUUUUUUUAUUAUGUCGGUUAUAUGUGACAGCAUUGUCUUUAUAUCCGACGAGAUUUCUCAACAAUUAAUGUCGCCUACAAUCGAUAGGAGUAUGAAGGAAAUAUUUGUGAAAACUAGUUUAUUUGAGCAACAUCUAUGCAUGCUAUUAACAAUUAAAAGGCGGAAUCAUGCUUGUAUGCACUCAAAAACAAAACUUAACCCAUGAAAUUCAAAGCCUAGUAGUUAUGGUGAACCAAGACUCAACUCAAGAACAAAGUGAGUUAAGAAAUAUUACCUUUGUUGAUUCAUCUUUGCAUAAGCAAGGGCUAAUCACCCAAGAGAUAGGGCCUUCAUUUCUUACUUCUUAGCUCCAUGAAUUUCUUGGAUGAGGAUGGUAGAAUGAAUUCUCCAAGUUCCCAAAAUAGAGAACCUCUAAGUCUCCACACCAAGGAGAGACUAGAAUAAGAGAUGAGUAACCUUGGAGGAGGUAAGAUUGCUAGCUAAUCUCCUCCAAGGGGUUGGCCUCCUAGAGAGAAAGGGAGAGACUUGUUCUAUCCAAUUUCCUCUAAAAGAACCCUAAAUAAAUUUUGGCUAUAAAGUUCUUUAUAUAGUCACUUCACUUAAGUGACAAAAAGAACCAAAACCCUAUUUCAUCAAUAUGUCCGACCUUCUAUGGUCUUUGGGCUGUUUGGACCCUCUUGAAUCUUUAUUCAUUAAGUUGUCAUAAAACUUAAGUCAAUGGCCUUGACAUUCGAAGCCCAUUGGGCCUUGAGGCCCAAAACUAACCCGAGGUCUAAAACGAACUUAUUUGUUUGAUUAAUUAACAUAUUAAUUAAUCCUAGUCAUAAACAAUUAAACCAUUUAAUUGUUCUUACUCAACUCCGUUGUUUCUUCAAUCUCUACAUUACACGGUGUACAAUCCAUUAGGUUCCUUUUAGCGAGGCAGUGGGCAAUUAUUACUCUUAACGAUCGAUUGUCAAUUGAAACAACAUUUCGAUUCUCCCUUUGAUAAAGAUUACCAGGGCUUCUACAGACCAUGAGUGACACCUAGCAGUAUGUCAUGGCUACCCAAGCUAAUCAGAAGAGGUGGAGAACCUAUUCAAUUUAGGAUUACAAUGCAAUACAGUCUUUCUCUAAUACAAUACUCUUGACCAUAUUGUUUGGUUUGAUAGUUUAUUCAUGUCUACUAUCCAAUGUGAUUCUUUUACUUAUAUGAUUACCUUAAAUGUGAUUUGGAAUGACUUCCUAAAUCUCACUCAUACUCUGGCCAGAGAUUCUUAAUCAUAUCAUAGAGUAUUCUCCCUCAAACGGUUUG